AGAGUUUGAUCCUGGCUCAGAUUGAACGCUGGCGGCAGGCUUAACACAUGCAAGUCGAGCGGAGUGAUGGUGCUUGCACCAUCACUUAGCGGCGAACGGGUGAGUAAUGCCUAGGAAUCUGCCCAUUAGCGGGGGACAACGUGUGGAAACGCACGCUAAUACCGCAUACGCCCUACGGGGGAAAGCAGGGGACUCUUUUAGAGCCUUGCACUAAUGGAUGAGCCUAGGUCGGAUUAGCUAGUUGGUGGGGUAAAGGCCUACCAAGGCGACGAUCUGUAGCGGGUCUGAGAGGAUGAUCCGCCACACUGGAACUGAGACACGGUCCAGACUCCUACGGGAGGCAGCAGUGGGGAAUAUUGGACAAUGGGCGCAAGCCUGAUCCAGCCAUGCCGCGUGUGUGAAGAAGGCCUUUUGGUUGUAAAGCACUUUAAGCGAGGAGGAGGCUACCUGUAUUAAUACUAUAGGAUAGUGGACGUUACUCGCAGAAUAAGCACCGGCUAACUCUGUGCCAGCAGCCGCGGUAAUACAGAGGGUGCGAGCGUUAAUCGGAAUUACUGGGCGUAAAGCGCGCGUAGGCGGUUUGUUAAGUCGGAUGUGAAAUCCCCGGGCUCAACCUGGGAAUUGCAUUCGAUACUGGCAAGCUAGAGUAUGGGAGAGGAAGGUAGAAUUCCAGGUGUAGCGGUGAAAUGCGUAGAGAUCUGGAGGAAUACCGAUGGCGAAGGCAGCCUUCUGGCCUAAUACUGACGCUGAGGUGCGAAAGCAUGGGGAGCAAACAGGAUUAGAUACCCUGGUAGUCC
This 797-nucleotide ribosomal RNA is filed under the name uncultured bacterium. RNAcentral describes it as "bacterial SSU rRNA". It matches the Rfam family "Bacterial small subunit ribosomal RNA", at positions 8 to 796 of the family's 1533-position model. The record is from RNAcentral.